This 500-nucleotide ribosomal RNA is filed under the name uncultured bacterium. RNAcentral describes it as "partial 16S ribosomal RNA". It matches the Rfam family "Bacterial small subunit ribosomal RNA", at positions 30 to 523 of the family's 1533-position model. The record is from RNAcentral.
AUUGAACGCUGGCGGCAUGCCUUACACAUGCAAGUCGAACGGCAGCACGGGAGCAAUCCUGGUGGCGAGUGGCGAACGGGUGAGUAAAGUAUCGGAACGUGCCCAGUCGUGGGGGAUAACGUAGCGAAAGUUACGCUAAUACCGCAUACGAUCUAUGGAUGAAAGCGGGGGAUCGCAAGACCUCGCGCGAUUGGAGCGGCCGAUAUCAGAUUAGGUAGUUGGUGGGGUAAAGGCCCACCAAGCCGACGAUCUGUAGCUGGUCUGAGAGGACGACCAGCCUCACUGGGACUGAGACACGGCCCAGACUCCUACGGGAGGCAGCAGUGGGGAAUUUUGGACAAUGGGCGAAAGCCUGAUCCAGCCAUGCCGCGUGCGGGAUGAAGGCCUUCGGGUUGUAAACUGCUUUUGUACGGAACGAAAAGGACUGCCUUAAUACGGUGGUCCCAUGACGGUACCGUAAGAAUAAGCACCGGCUAACUACGUGCCAGCCGCCGCAGUAA